GAUGAACGCUGGCGGCGUGCCUAAUACAUGCAAGUAGAACGCUGAAGGAAGGAGCUUGCUCUUUCCGGAUGAGUUGCGAACGGGUGAGUAACGCGUAGGUAACCUGCCUGGUAGCGGGGGAUAACUAUUGGAAACGAUAGCUAAUACCGCAUAACAGUAGAUGUUGCAUGAUAUCUACUUAAAAGGUGCAAUUGCACCACUACCAGAUGGACCUGCGUUGUAUUAGCUAGUUGGUGAGGUAACGGCUCACCAAGGCGACGAUACAUAGCCGACCUGAGAGGGUGAUCGGACACACUGGGACUGAGACACGGCCCAGACUCCUACGGGAGGCAGCAGUAGGGAAUCUUCGGCAAUAGACGGAAGACUGACCGAGCAACGCCGCGUGAGUGAAGAAGGUUUUCGGAUCGUAAAGCUCUGUUGUAAGAGAAGAACGAGUGUGAGAGUGGAAAGUUCACACUGUGACGGUAUCUUACCAGAAAGGGACGGCUAACUACGUG
This 497-nucleotide ribosomal RNA is filed under the name uncultured bacterium. RNAcentral's name for it is "partial 16S ribosomal RNA". It matches the Rfam family "Bacterial small subunit ribosomal RNA", at positions 28 to 507 of the family's 1533-position model. The record is from RNAcentral.